Molecule: long non-coding RNA, 2139 nt
Filed under: Marmota monax (woodchuck)
Lineage: Eukaryota; Metazoa; Chordata; Mammalia; Rodentia; Sciuridae
Source: RNAcentral
GGUUAAUGUCUUCUUUUAUGGCAGAAAAGAGGGGAUCUGAUGAUAAAAAAAGUAGUGUGAAGUCCAGUAGUCGAGAAAAACAGAGUGAAGAUCCAAACACUGAAUCGAAGGAAAGUGAUACUAAGAAUGAGGUCAAUGGGACCAGUGAAGACAUUAAAUCUGAAGGUGACACUCAGUCCAAUUAAAACUGAUCUGAUAAGACCUCAGAUCAGACAGAGGUAAGUGUAUUGUUUCUCACUUUGAUUAGGGCUUUUUGUUACUGUUUGACAGUGCAGCGUAAGUAUGCACAGAUGAAGAUGGAACUAAGCCGAGUAAGAAGACAUACAAAAGCAUCUUCUGAAGGAAAAGACAGUGUAGUCCUGCAAAACAUUUUGAGGUACAUUGUUUUGUCUCAGCUAUUUUGUAGCAGACUCGUGUCCCCAUUAGUGUGCCUCUUUGGAAAUUAUUGCCCACCUUUGUAAUGUAGUCGCCAUUAAAAAGUUAAUUAUCCUUUUUUUUAGGGAUUUUGCUGUCAUUUCUUUUUUUUUUUUUUUUUUUUUUUUUUUUUAAUAAAAAGGUUGAACUGUUUUUUUAUUAUUAUUAUUAUUUUUUGGUAUUAAGUCCAUCUUGUGUUGGUACAUUGGCAGAAACAUAUGCUUUAAAAACUUAAAUAUUUCUGAGGCACAUGUUGGACUACUUUGUUUUAAUUAAACUGCUAGUAUUUCUUUGUCAAGGAUGUUUCUAGUUUUUUUGCUUUAUUGCCUUGCAUUCUAAUGCAGUUUGUUCUGUAACUCGAGAGCCAGUAGCAUUGGAUUGAUGGAAGUGUAGGGUUUAUGAAUUAUUGCAGCUGACUACCAUACCUCACACAGCGUUGGUGUUGUGAGCGGCCCAUGAAAAGCCAAAUUAAAAAUCAAGGAUUCAGUCAAACUAAGCAGGUACUCAUGCCAGGUACUCCUUUCUCUACCCACAUCCAUGUUUGAAUGCUAUUGCCUGUGAUCUUUACGCUUAACUGUUGUGUAUCUUUUUUGUUCUUUAUAAGAAGCACAGAGGGGUUUUUGUGUAUUGCGUGAAAAGUUAUAAAUCAAAUGUUAACAGAAUGGAAUUUUUUUUCAACUGUGUGUAGGGAUGCAGUGGUGCCCAGAAUUAGAUAUCUUUAAAGAAAUUUAAAUACAAUAAACACUUCAUAUUAUUCGCCUUGUUACAUUCAAUGCAAUUCUCAAGUCUUUAAGAGGUAUGUGCUUAAUAUUUCCUACUUUGUAGGAGAAUUUGCAGUCAGCCAUAGGUGUAUAGGAAUAGUUACUGGCUGAUAUGUUUAAAGCAGCAGUGAAUAGGAAGGACAGACAACUUCAAUCUGUGACAUGCAAAGAAUUGUUGAACUGUAUAGAAUGAAUUUGGGUUUUUAAAGAACUAUUAAGUUAGGUUUUGUAAGUGUUCUUAAAACCUCUAUAAACUGUUCAUUCUUUGGGCUAGUGGUGUGGGAUGAAAUAUUCCUAAUAAAAGGAAGUACCAAUUAGUUGAUUUGUUGAUGGCAUUCCUUUUCUAGGAAAGCAGUUUAGAGUUUCUGUGUGAGCUAUUCACACAUAGGCAUGCAUACACAGGCACAUGGCUUUAAGAACCACACUGAUGCCUUAACUGUUAAAAAGAUACAAACAUUUCAUAUACACGUUUAAUAUAAUUAGCAGUUAGUGACUGGGCCAACACUUUGUCAUAAAAAUUUGCCUUUUAUAUGCUGUCUAAUUAUCAUUUUUCCCCAAAUUUUGCAUUGUAGGACUACUGUUCGAAGAUUUUUUGAAGAAUACUGAAAACGGCAUAAAGUGAAGAUCGGCAUUAAAAUGAGGUGAAAGAAAGCUAUAGUGGCAUAGAAAAAGUAUAAAAAGCUCAGUUAGUGUUUUUUUUUUAUUUUAUUUUAAUUAAAAAUUAAUUCAGGACUGAUGUGACCUUCCAGAUUUCAGAACAUGUGUUAAUAGCAUAUAUGCCACUGAAAAUUUAGGUCCUGUAUCAUAAUUUUUCUUUAAGACUUUUUAAGAUAUUACCUAAACAUGUGGCUUGCUCAGUGUUUAAUUGCAAGUUUUCAUUCUUGGACUUUGAAAACAGGAUUAAACGUUAGUAUUCGUGUGAAUCAGACUAAGUGGGAUUCCAUUUUUACAACUCUGCUAUACU